CCGCCGUACGGGCCUAUAAAGAGGCUCUCUUCAUCCCCUGAAGGUCCCUACCUCGCCUCCUCCCAGCCCUCCCCACUCAUCUCCGCCGUCCCUAUACCCAUCUCCUCUCCGCGUGACCCAGAUGAGGAACCAUCGAUGAUGGCGUACGGGAAGCACGCAUGGAGGGCGCUGCCGAGGCGACGGCGCCGGGGACGGAAGCUACCUCUACCGACAACAGCAUGAAUCAUCAAGGGCCGCGGCGCUGCCAUCCCAGUUGUCGGCGUCCUCUUCUGCGCCCCGGCCACAGAGGAGGACUGCCACAACUGUUGUGGAUCCUCAUCGUUCGUGUUGUGCAAGGACGGGGGUCGUCCUCAUUGUGCGAGGGCAGCACAUCGGGAGCUGCAACAACUAGGUUGCCGCACUCCUUGUUGACGCCCUUCUGAUCCUGUUGAACGCCGCGGUCAACGACUACGUGGGAAGAGCUGCGACAUGCUGCUUCACCUUCAAUGGCUUUUCGCGCUGGUCAAAAGACUGCAGGCAUGCAGAAUACAUCUCUGAAGGACCUAGCCAUGACUAUUACUGUGCAUGUGUGAACUCCUAUGAUAUGGGAAUUUGGAAGCCAGGAAACAUGGGCACUAUUUCAGUUGGAUUUUGUUGUAGUAGAUUGCCAGAAAACUAUUAUGGAGGGGGACGUGUGGUGCAGAACCGAAUAGACAAAGAACAUGCUCAAAGAGGGCUCUAUCUAUCGAAUCUCAAAUUUUGAUGUUUAAGUGCCAAAAAGAUAUACAAAGCAGUGGAUUUUCCUACAAAGAUUUGCUUCACCCAGAGAACAUUGCCUAUGAAAAGGCCUCAACCAGACAAUUUUCCCAGAUUUGUCUACAGUAUGCAUCCUUUUACAGUGUUGGAGAAUAGAGCAAAAUAUACCUCUGUCAAGUAAAUGUGUUGACAAGUACUUAAAAUGUAGUGUACACAUGCAAAAAUAAAGGUCGAUGCGUACAUAUUUUUGGAAUCCAUAGAUAUCGUUGGUUUGAUAACAUUGGUUAGUGAGAUUCUACCCCUGGCAGGUACAAACAAGGGAGACAGAUUUAUAUCGGUGAUGGAAAGUACAAUUAUUUGGAAGCAUUGUCUAACAUACGCAUAAUAAAGGUUAAAUGACUAUAAACUGGCUAAUUCCUGCAGCCAAUCUGCUGUUGGAAGAAUCGGUUGAGGCAUUAAAUGUUCAAGGCUUACGCUCGGCUUCUACCAACGAACCGACCAUUGUUGUGUUUGUUGGCAUGCUGGGUAUGCUAGCAGACAAGUAUACUUCAACUGCGGCAAGACUUUGAUGACGCGGAACCGUCAACAUGUUUGUCUGACCUCGUCGGCGAAAUCCGCUCCAUGAUUACCUCCCAGCGAGACCGAGCGUGCUUCACCGCCGUUUGUUAAGUCAUGUCUACGGGAGAGAUAAAGAAUAAAGAUAUGCAUCAUGUAGUGCUUACGUCUGAGAAUUAAUGUUCUUGAUUUACCUUGUUGUUCCAAAGGACUGAUUCUACGGGAUAGAUAAAGAAUAAAGAUAUGCAUCAUGUAGUGCUUACGCAAAAAUUGCCAGGAAGGUUUUAGUUCAUCUUUAGGGAGCCUAUUGAAACAAAAGGUAACCAGUUGCACUAGCGAAUAGUAAUCUGAAAAGAUACCUAGAUGUUCUCAUGGCAAGUCAACAUAAGCUACCCUGUUAUCCUUUUUCGAUAAUCGAAAAAUGAAGUAUUUUGGAGAGCCCAUGUCUGAUUAGGUUUGCUUCUUGUGUUUUCGGAGAGCCCAUGUCUGAUUAGGUUGGUUUCUUCUGUUUUCGAUUGGUUUACUUGUUUGCAUAGGGAGGGAAAAGGAGUUAAGAGACAAAGAGAAGGCUCAGCACCUCUAUUUGCAUGUCAAAUCUGAAGUAGAGAGCUGCAUCAAGUAUCUGAAGGAGAAGA
This is a long non-coding RNA of Triticum aestivum (bread wheat), 1925 nucleotides long. RefSeq lists it as uncharacterized. NCBI's taxonomy places the organism in Eukaryota, Viridiplantae, Streptophyta, Magnoliopsida, Poales, Poaceae. The record is from RefSeq and is a predicted model, not a curated record. The transcript has 4 exons.